This 465-nucleotide ribosomal RNA is filed under the name uncultured bacterium. Its description in RNAcentral is "partial 16S ribosomal RNA". It matches the Rfam family "Bacterial small subunit ribosomal RNA", at positions 28 to 507 of the family's 1533-position model. The record is from RNAcentral.
GACGAACGCUGGCGGCGUGCUUAACACAUGCAAGUCGAACGGAAAGGCCCCUUUGGGGGUACUCGAGUGGCGAACGGGUGAGUAACACGUGAGUAACCUGCCCUUGACUUCGGGAUAACUUCAGGAAACUGGGGCUAAUACCGGAUAGGCAUCCUUGCUGCAUGGGGGGGGUUGGAAAGCUUCGGCGGUUUUGGGUGGACUCGCGGCCUAUCAGCUUGUUGGUGGGGUAGUGGCUUACCAAGGCUUUGACGGGUAGCCGGCCUGAGAGGGCGACCGGCCACAUUGGGACUGAGAUACGGCCCAGACUCCUACGGGAGGCAGCAGUGGGGAAUAUUGCACAAUGGGCGGAAGCCUGAUGCAGCAACGCCGCGUGCGGGAUGACGGCCUUCGGGUUGUAAACCGCUUUCAGCAGGGGCGAAGCUUGUGGUGACGGUACCUGCAGAAGAAGCACCGGCUAACUACGUG